RNAcentral lists this small RNA (761 nucleotides) under Pongo abelii (Sumatran orangutan). RNAcentral's name for it is "processed transcript". The record is from RNAcentral. Lineage: Eukaryota; Metazoa; Chordata; Mammalia; Primates; Hominidae.
GGUGAGAUGGUGCUAGAGCAGUAGGGGGCAUGUGUCCUCAUGGUACAGUAUGUGGUCAGGUGACCUAGAGGCUCCUAAUCCUAGUAUCUCCCGCAGUGGGGUUCCAGGUAGAGUUUUUGGAGUUGCUCUUUCACUUCCAUGGAACACUACGAAAACUGCAGCUCCAAGAGCCUGAGUAUGUGCUCUUGGCUGCCAUGGCCCUCUUCUCUCCUGGUGAGCAUCCCCCAAAGCCCAGAGCCUUUUGCACCACCUCUGCCCAAACACUCAGCUCCUUGAGUCCAUCCACCCAGGCCUUCUAGCCUAACCGUCAAACCUGCAGACUAGGUCUAUCCCAGCCUCAGUCCCCGGGGCACCAUGCAGGCCCACCCCUGCCACCCACCUUGUCCUUCCCAGCUCCCUAUCUUACAGACCGACCUGGAGUUACCCAGAGAGAUGAGAUUGAUCAGCUGCAAGAGGAGAUGGCACUGACUCUGCAAAGCUACAUCAAGGGCCAGCAGCGAAGGCCCCGGGAUCGGUUUCUGUAUGCGAAGUUGCUGGGCCUGCUGGCUGAGCUCCGGAGCAUUAAUGAGGCCUACGGGUACCAAAUCCAGCACAUCCAGGGCCUGUCUGCCAUGAUGCCGCUGCUCCAGGAGAUCUGCAGCUGAGGCCAGGCUCACUUCCUUCCCCAGCUCACCUGGGACACCCUGGAUACACUGGAGUGGGAAAAUGCUGGGACCAAAGAUUGGGCCAGGUUCAAAGGGAGCCCAGUGGUUGCAAUGAAA